UCCCAAGCUGUGACCCUCCAAAGGGAAGCACUUUCUGUUUGUUGUCUGAGAGAAAACAAAGUGCUUCCUUUUAGAGUGUGACCGCUUGGGA
Molecule: microRNA precursor, 91 nt
Organism: Cercocebus atys (sooty mangabey)
Lineage: Eukaryota; Metazoa; Chordata; Mammalia; Primates; Cercopithecidae
Source: Ensembl